This is an RNA transcript of Mytilus californianus (California mussel), 1325 nucleotides long. RefSeq lists it as uncharacterized. NCBI's taxonomy places the organism in Eukaryota, Metazoa, Mollusca, Bivalvia, Mytilida, Mytilidae. The transcript has 10 exons. The record is from RefSeq and is a predicted model, not a curated record.
GUAAUAUCUCAUAAAUUAUAAACAUGAUAAACACUGAAUAUUGAGUGGACACUCUCGUGUCUAUACAUAAAUUCUGAAUAACAUGUCAACAAAGAUAUACAUGUACACGCCAAGGAUCGAAGUAGUGUCACAGUGGAAAUUUAGAAGACUUAAAAGCAAUAUAAAAUGUCUUCAAUACCUGUGAUAGAUUUCCAAAAAUAUGGGCUUCAUAUCGAGAAGGCAGAUUCUGUACCUAGGGAGGACUUGAAGGAGUUAGGAGACCAGAUGUGUGAAGCUCUACAGAAUAUUGGGUUCUGUUAUUUGAAAAACCACGGAGUUCCUGAUGCACAGUUGAAAGAAGUAUUGGAAUUGUCAAAAAAAUUCUUCAGUCAGCCAUUAGAAGAAAAAGAAAAAUGUGCCAAACCAGAUGGAGGUUAUGAUGGAUGGAUCGGACUAGAGAAAGAAAAACUGAAUUUAGAGAGACCAGUAGGAGAUUAUAAAGAAACCUAUAACAUUACUCCAAUAUGCGAAGUAUGGCCGACCAAUAUACCAGAAUUUGAGACAGUUUUAAUGGAUUUCUUACGAAAAUGCAUAGAACUAGCUUUAAGAGUUUUUGAUGUUAUCUCCGUUGGUUUGAAUUUAGAGGACAAGAAUUUCUUUCGAAACUGUCACAAAUUAAUUGGACAAAGAGGAAAUGUCACUGCUCUUAGAAGUUUGUUUUAUCCGGCUAUUCCAAUGGAAAAAGAAAUAAUGGAAGGCCAAGUAAGAUGUGGUGAGCAUUCAGACUAUGGUACACUAACGCUACUAUUCCAAGACCUCGUCGGUGGAUUGGAGGUAAAAACACGUGAUGGGAACUAUAUUCCAGCUACACCAAUUUCUAGUACCAUUGUUGUAAACAUUGGGGAUAUGAUGCAGAGAUGGACGGCAGAUAAACUUAUUGCAACGAAACAUCGUGUUUUAAUUCCGAAAGAAGAAUCAAUAAAACGACAGAGUCGACAGUCUGCAGCUUAAAAAAGCCUUUGUUUGUUGUCCCGGAUUCAUUUCACGUCAUCACGUGUUUGGACGAUUCUGAGAAAUACCCUUCUAUCACUUGUAUUGAUUAUCUCUAUGGAAAGUUUCAUGAAAAAUUCUAAAUUGAGACACCGAGUUCUUAUUCCGGGAGAGGAAAUCCAAAAGAGGAGAGAUCGUCAGUCCGUGGCUUUAUUUGUUUUACCAGACGAUGAUGCAAUAAUCCGGUGCCUGGACAACUCGAACAAAUAUGAACCAAUCACAAGUCAAAAUUAUUUGAAUAUGAGAUUUUUUGAAAAGUUUUAAUAAUCACUUCAAUAAAAUCAUACUGACAUGAA